ACUCAUAUAACUUAAGUUUAAAGUUUAAUAUUGAAGAUAUUAAUAUAGGAUCAAUUCCUUAUGGGUA
Molecule: transfer RNA, 67 nt
Filed under: Piesma cf. maculatum
Lineage: Eukaryota; Metazoa; Arthropoda; Insecta; Hemiptera; Piesmatidae
Description: tRNA-Phe
Rfam family: tRNA
About the family: Transfer RNA (tRNA) molecules are approximately 80 nucleotides in length. Their secondary structure includes four short double-helical elements and three loops (D, anti-codon, and T loops).
Source: RNAcentral